UUUUGUAGCCACAAACAUGAAAAACAAACCUGUUUGAAAUUCACCAGAAAUCAUUUAGAUUACUUGAGAACUAUCUAAAUGAUUUCUGGUGAAUCUCAAACAGGUUUGUUUUUCAUGUUUGUGGCUACAAAAAA
Podarcis lilfordi (Lilford's wall lizard) is the source of this 134-nucleotide non-coding RNA. The record is from the annotation of a GenBank genome assembly. NCBI's taxonomy places the organism in Eukaryota, Metazoa, Chordata, Lepidosauria, Squamata, Lacertidae.